RNAcentral lists this unclassified non-coding RNA (181 nucleotides) under uncultured Veronaea. RNAcentral's name for it is "sequence contains ITS2". The record is from RNAcentral. Lineage: Eukaryota; Fungi; Ascomycota; Eurotiomycetes; Chaetothyriales; Herpotrichiellaceae.
UCACCCCUCAAGCCCCCGGCUUGGUGUUGGAUGGUCGGUGGGACCCUUAGGUUCCACCCCUCCCAAAGACAAUGACGGCGGCCUCGUUGGACCCCCGGUACACUGAGUUCUUCACCGAACACGUACUGGACUAAGGGCCCGCGGGGCACGGUCUGCCUCCCCUCAGGGAGAAUUUUAAUAA